Molecule: long non-coding RNA, 13364 nt
Organism: Catharus ustulatus (Swainson's thrush)
Lineage: Eukaryota; Metazoa; Chordata; Aves; Passeriformes; Turdidae
Exons: 3
Source: RefSeq, a predicted model, not a curated record
CCGCCCGGCGCGGGAUGCUGCGGGGCCAGCGCGGGGGCCCGCCGGGGUAGCCCCUACCUGAUGGCCACCGCUGCUUGGGCGGCCGCUGCCGCCACCCCGGACAGCUUUUGCCUCUCGGGCGGAGGGGAGCGGAGCCCCGAUGGGCGUCCUUCCUCGGGAAGCCGGCAUGUGCAUCCUCUGCACGGGACCCUGCUCCUAAAGAUUCUUCUUCGGUGAGGACGGGGCUUGCGAAGUUAUUCCUCUCCUGGGCAGACAGCAAGGCAGCAGUCCUGCCCAGAGUCUUCUCCCAAGUUAGGCACCAGUGGAGAGCAAGGCUUCAGGAGAUGUUCUGCGGCAGCUGGAUUUCAUCCUGGAGGUGGCCCUUAGGAAUAAAGCCUCUCCUGAUGUUAUUCCCUCCCCAGUAAUAACCAUAGGUGUUGGGGUUCCCUUGGUAUCCAUGGCCUGCCGACUGUGAUGGUGACGUUCUCUCCCUGUGAUUUGAUGCACUUCGAUGAUGGUAAUUUGAAGUAAGCACCACCAGCUGAAUGGGUAUAGAAAAGGAUCUCAAAUAGGUGGGGAUGUGGAAAGGCAGCAGCAUCUUCAGGCAGGUUGCCAGUGAUACAAAAGACUAAAUGCUUUCACCUGGGGCAGAGAUGCUGGGAGAUAAAAAGGAGUGAUACCAGAAUGAUUCCAAGAAAUCAAGGUUUGAAGAUAUAGAUCAGAAAAGGAUGGAUCAAGAUGGAUGUGGUGAAAAGGGUACCAGUUGAAUGACAGGUGUCUGUGUAGCCACUUCUGAUGCCUCUUCCAUGCCUCUGGGCUUCUCUCAAAAGUUCUCUGUGUCUUCAUGUCCUCAAGCACAAGAAGUUCACCUGAGGGAGGAUUUUUGGGCUCUGACUGUUCACUCAAGCCCCUGGGUCUUGCUCUUUGUAGACAAUCAUUUGAGCUUGACUGCUGCUUGCUGGCCAAUUGGCCGGAUGUGGAAAGACUCUGCUGAUGAGAGCAUCUGAUCAAUAAACAAGGGGCAAAAGAGAAAUAUCAGAUGCCUGAAGGGCUUGUGUUUUGUCACUGGCCCAUCGCACCAGGAGUGGGAUUCAGAAACCCUGGUAGUGAGUCAUGCAUCCGUCUUGAGGUGACCUCGGGGACUUAGCAGGAUUGCUGUGGAAGAGGUACAGGCUGCUGUGUGAGUCACGGCAUCAGGUAAUAAAUUAGCCAAUAUAAUUCACUGGGAAAUUUAUCUAGCUGCAUUGCUCUGCCUGAUGUGCUCUUUCCCUUUGGGAGGCUUCUGAUUAAAUAAACUUUAUUUCUUGUAUCGAAAAUUGCUCACAAAAGAUGCAAUAAACUCCGGGGAGUCACCCACAAGUACUGCACAGUAUGCACAGUGGUGAAUAUUGGGUAGCUUACUUUGUCCCAGAGAACUUAGAAACACUUCUUGAAGGGGGUCUCUAAUUGAGUUGCUUGUCUGUGGAGAAAGAGGAAGGGAAAAUAGGUUGUCUUGACCUACCUCUGCUGAAGAAGCUAAUAAUUUUUGAUAUGCUGGAACAUUUUUAAGCAGUUUUAAGCAUAAUCAUGACCACGUAUUAGGAUACUUGCAAUGACUAAUUCUUUCUGUGAAGCUUGCUGACAUCUUUCCUGUCUAUUUAGGAAAAUUUAGUAUAAAAACUAAGGGAACUGAUCAAAAGACUAUGCAUGUUCCUUGCAGGAUCUGGAAGAUUGGAACUUCCCAAGCCAAUUAAACUUGAAGCAAAUUUAAAUGGGGAUGGAUAUUAUCAGAAUCUGUAGCUCAUUUAAACAAUGCAAAUAUGUAUUAAAAUAAAAAAUCAUCCUAUGCUGUGGAUAUGAAAGAAGAAAUGAAUUCUUUGUCAUAACAGUCUUGAUAGCUUGACCUGUGAUUACUUCAUGUCACAUCUGCACCUCUGCUAAGACGUAGCAGCUAAUCCUGGAAAACAUUUCCAGGCAUACGAAUAACAAGAAAAUAAUCAGAAGCAGUCAGCGUGGAUUCACAAAGGAGGAAGACAUGCUUGAUCAACCUGAUAGCCUACAGUAAAAGACCUGGCCUGCUGGCUGAGGGGCGAGUGGCUCCUGUCUACUUGGACUUUAGUAAGGCCUUUGGGACUGUCUCCCAUGAGAUCCUCCUAGACAAACAGUUGUUGUAUGGCUUAGGUGAGCAGACAGUGAGCUGGACAGAAAACUGCUCGGAUGGGCAGACCCAAAUGCUGAUGACUGGUGGCACAACAUCUAGCCGGUGACUAGCAGUGUACCCCAGGGGUCAAUACUGGGUCCUUCAACAAUCUUCGUUAAUGAUCUGGGUGAUGAGGCAGAGCACACAAUCAGGAAUAUUUUUUUCCCUGAACUAGUUGAGGGGCCCCAUUCAGAGGUUUCAUCCCAAAUUUGCCCUAAACCAGGACAGCUCCUCAGUAGAGUAAAGCCAUGAACAUAUUGCAGAAAAUCCAUUCUUCAAUGGACCCUUGAAUGAAAAAGUCAUUAGGAUGACUGAGGGACUGGAGCACCUCUGCUAUGAGGAAAGGCUGAGGGAGCUGGGGCUGUUCAGUCUGAAGAGAAAAGGCUCAGAGGGAUCUCAUCAAUGCCUAUGAAUCCAUGAAGGGAGGUCACAAAGAAGACACAAAGAAGGAGCAGAGCUCCUUCCAGUGGUGCCCAGUGGCAGAACCAGAGGCAGGAGGAACAAACUGAAAUAUGGGAGGUUCCCUCUGAACUUCAGGAUACACUUUUUCGUUGUGAGGAUGACCAAACACUAGGGCAGGUUGCCCAGAGAGAUGGUGCAGUCUCCAUCCUUGGAAAUGCUCAAAAGUAAUCUGGACAUGGUCCUAGGCAACCUGUAGAUGACCCUGCUUGAUUAGAGGUUUCUUCCAACUUGCAGCGUUCUGUGAUACUUUUAUGGCAGAGAAAAUAAUGGGUGAGUGUGAACAUGUGUGCAUGCCCAGACUGAGCACUCUCAUCAUGGUAUGCAGGGGCACUGGAGAGAGAUAGGCAAAGCACUUUUUUAACUGGAAAAGAGGAUGCAAGCAGCUCACUUUGAAUGGGUGAAAUCUGCAUGGUACACCAGGAAUUCUCUGGGGAAAAGUGUGCAGUGGGGCACAAAGUGUGCACAUAAAUCACAGGGCAGUUGUGUUCUUGAAUAACAUGAAAUCUGCUUUUUUUUAGAAGGCAGCCUAUCUAAUACCUGUCAAAUGGGGAUGGCUUCCCCAAAACCACCUGCUCCAGCAGACCAUCAGCCAUCACAUAGCUGCAGGCACCAGGAGUGGCUUGCUGCAGUCCCAUGGUAGCCCCUCACUCUCAGGCAUUUCCCUGGUAGUCCCCUUCCUUCUGCUUUUGGGAAAUAUCCUCUGCUUCACCCUCUGCCACCCAGCAAGCCAAGUAUCUGAGAGUAGGUUUCUCAACCCCUCCAGCAGCUGUGGGGCCACAGACACUGCUUGGGUGGCAUCUCACCUCAACCCAGCUAGCUGCUGCUGGCAGCUGUGAAGAGCUUUCAGGGCCUUUCUGAAGACCCGGGCAGAGAAGUGAGCUAUGAGAUAGCUAUCUACCAGCUCUGCUGUCCCAGUGAUCAAUACCUAGCAAUAAACACAGCUGGGGAUCAGACGCAUACACUGUGAAACUUCCUUUUUUUUUAUUUGGCUUUUGGCUGCACCAGAGACCAAGAUCAGGCAGUGACAGAAGUCUGUCCAGGCUUCCUUCCAACACUGUGAACAUGUUGCUGAAGACUGCCUCUAGAGGAAACAGUGUUUGAGUUUGUACCCACAGGUACCCUCCAUGAGGAGUUAUGGGGAAGAAUAUGCAGAAGUGGUUUUUAGGAAGAUCUUGCUAUUUUCCUCCGUGGAUAGUGCAAUGAACAGGUAGGAGUGGUAGUAGUGGUAAGGCUUCUGUGAUGAAGUGGGGAAAAAUUAGAUACUCUGUUGUCCAGAGGAAAAUACAUCUUCAUCACCAUGGUGCUUGCGUGCCACUCCUGUCUAAAAAUUAAGAACCGACUUGUACAGACAUCACUCAUAAGAAGGGCUAAAUGUGUACUUGAUUAACCUUAGUGCCCUACCAACUAGUUAGGCAGCUUGUGGGGACAACUUCACAGAUGUUAAUAUUUCCUUUCUGUGGACUUGUUCCCUUUUCUCAUAAGCUGCAUCCAUAAGUAUCCAUUAUCGAACUGAGCCAUUGCAGAUGGUGAGAUGGCAACAACCAUGAGUCAGUCAUGGUACUGUGCUGUGUCAGGGAGCAAUAUCUAAAAGAAAGGUUGUGUGUUCAUUGUGCUGGGAGCACAGCUCUGUGAAUGCUUUAUGUCUGCUGGUGUUUACUACACGAGGAGGUGUGUAACCACAAAGGGUGAAGGGCAGUGAUGGGAGGGGACUUUGCCAGCAUUACACAUAUUUUCAGUGUAGUAGGGUGUUCUUCUGUUUCAAAGGCAUUUGAUGCAGGGGUGAAGUAAAGCUUUUAUUGCUUGGAGUGCUUGUAACAUUUAGAGUUGCUAAAAAUCUUGCAUGCUGAUAUCAGGGGAUAUCAAAUGGCUCCUGAUUGCAAGUGUGGGUGUAAAUACGCUGCUUUUCACUCCCUUUCCGUAGAACAUACCUGUGUCUCUGAAGAAACAGGGAAGGAUGCUGUAAAAACAGCUACAAAUGUUGCAGAGGAGGAGCGGAGCACCUGAAGGUCUCCAGCCAUCCUGCAGGAGUGAGGGCUUGGUGCCAAGCUGAGCAGAGGCUCAGAGGGGCCAGACCCGUUCCUCUGCCCAGCCUCAUUUCCUUUGCACUCCACCUGGAGCAGAGACAAUGCAGGCCACUUGGACCAGCUCCGUUUGAGCAGGGAUGCUCCUCACCAUAUCCCAGAGAUGCUAGGUUUAGAGGGUGCCAGAGAAUAUUUACCCAAUGUGUUUACUAUUACUGGCCUUGCACAGCCCUUCACCAGCCAUUCCCUGGCUGAGGCUCCAUCUCUACAUCCAGAGUCAGGCAUCCAGCCAAGAAAGAAGGCCACGUGGCAGGUUCUCUUUUUUCCUCUGCAGGUGGCUGUAAAAUACUGUCCAAAGCUUGUGCAAAACUGUUUAAAUCACCACCAGAGAAUACAUUUUUCGUUGGCAUGGUGAUAGGAAUGACGGAGUAAUAGAAAUUUUGUAACUUUUUGCUCCUUCCUGCAAAGUGCAACUGGUUCCUCAGACUCUGAUGGCCUUUUGGGUCACCAGGGUGUAUGGGCACUGUCUCUUUAGCUGGUCUAUUCCCAGAAGUCCUGCUACAACAGGACAGCUGUCAGAGGUCUGUGCCCACACCACAAGCAGAUGGGCACAACUUGUGCAGUUUCACCCUGACACAGGAUAAAGACCCUUAUAUAAGCACAUCCCUGGGACUUCCAGUUGAUUCCAAAUACCCUCCUCCCAAGACUAAUUUUCAUUUUCCAUCCAGGAAGCAAUCAAUGUACAGCUGAAGCAAUAGAAUAUGGGCCUCAGAGACUCCUUGUUUCGACAGACAGCUUAUCCCAGGCACAGUCACCUGGCUUGGACCUCCCCUCAGCUCAUUUCCCUAUGGAAAGUGAGUACAGACCAAUCCAGAAAGCUCCUCUGCUGCUGUCAUGGUCUCUGAAAAGGAGCAACCAUCCAUUGGUGUGUUUUGAAUUGUACCUUGUGCUUUGACAGGAAGCUGCAAUGUGGCAGAAUGAGAAAUUAAUUAGCCUCAUGCUGCUGCAAGCAUUUCCAGUCCCAGCUGACAACAGACUAAUUAAGAACCUCCCUGUGGUGUCUAUUUUAGAUAACCAUUUACUUUGAUACAAUUUAACAAGGGCUUUUCUAAUGGUUUAUUUCACAGGCAACUCAUUAGAUUAAUGCGUGGCAAAUAGCAGGAACUUGAGAAUAGAUGUUUUGAAUUCCCAGCCACCAAAAGUCAAUACAAUUUUGCCAAAGAGUGCACUAAUUUUAUCGAGGCAAAACACAUGAUUCCUUCUGAUAUUUUGUGUCAUGUAAUUUGUUUUCAGAUGUUACCUUAACCUAAGUCCAGAAGUUUUGAAAACUGAAGGUGGCCUUGCAAGUGCUGGUCCUCAGGAGCCGAUUAGUGCCCCUGUAUGUGAUUUGCCCAUCAGAGUCAUUUGUGGUGCUUGCAGACUGAGGACCAAGAGUGCUAAGUGUGCCACUUCAUUAGAGUUGUCUGUUUCAGAACCUCAGUGAAGGCUGAGGAACCAAACUUCCUGCUAGCCCAACGAUCCCUGCAUCUAUGACUAUGGAAAAUGCUGGUACAUGUGCAAGUCCAAGGCUUCCACAGGAUCUCUCACAAAGCCUAACAGAACCAGAAGAGGGGCCUUACUCUCCUCAAAUGGCAGGAAGGAGUGUCCCUAGUUUCUACCUUAACUUUCAAAUGUUAAGCUUGACCCUACCUAACUGCACAAAUGCAGUUUGUCUUUUGGAACCUACAGGCGUGCCAGGUGUAGUCUGGACCAAAGUAGGGACAUGAGCUGAAAAUGAACCUAGAAGCAAUUUGGUUUUCUCCACACAAUCUGUCCCUAAUGGGAAAACAUGUAGGAGGAUUUUACCUUCCCUUACUGUCUCUGCACUGCCUCAUGGUCACAAAUUACAAUUGUGAGGGUGAAAUCUUUGGCUCCAAAUUAAGAGUGAGUGGAAGACAGCAGAGAUGACAGGUUGGACUUCAGAUAGCAUAUGAUUGCACAGCUUGGAAAGAAGACUGGGGCUCUGGGUGGGGAAAGAAAGCAAAGAACAUGAGCUGAAAGGCCUUGCCAAGGGGAAUACAGUGGUGCCACAGCAGCAACUAAAUAUUCUGUGUAAUUUUCAGCAGGAUGCAGUUCUCCACAUGACUGAGAUCAGGUUUUUCAUUGUCACUAGAAUUAAUUGGGAGGGUCUCUUUGAAAUGAGUAUGUGAAUGUCUAAUAUAUUUUCUUUUUCCCUAGGGGGAAACUAACCAGUUUGCUAUCUUCAAACACCAUCGGAAACUUAAGUUAAAGCCUCAUAGAUUAAUUUUGCUUCCAAGUUUGGUUGAAAUUUGGAUGAAUAAUUUCAUUGGACAAAUUGCUUAAACUGGAAAUGCCUUCUUACAAGUCAUCUGCUCAGAGCCAACUGCUCAGGGGCACACAGAUCAUCAUUGCUUGUUGAUGGAGAAGAGUGUUUCUAUGCUUUUCUUUCUAAAAUGCUAUCCCAAACUAAAAUCACUAUAUUCUUGUCUAGGAUAACAUGCAGGAAGUGAAAACUAAAAACAUAAGUGGGAUUAUCAGUUUGCAUUUCUCAGCACCUAAUUGUUUGUAAUUCUUGCCUCACUGUCCCUCACUCACAGAAAUUCUGUGUGACCAGAAUUUGGAGCAUUUUCCCUGUUUCAUGGCAACAGAGCUAUGCUGUAGAGGCUCCACAAAGCCACACACAUUAUGAUUUUUAUCCCUUGUUGCAGGCUGGCUAUGUGUAAACACUUACUUCCCAGUCUUGUCUGAGCCUUUUUGGAUGCGAGCAGCUACAGCAAAUAUCAAGUGUGACUUCAUUUGCUGUAGCUAUCUGCCCUCUGCCUCCUAAUCCUUCAGGCUGUUGCUGCUUUCCCCAAUGGCUGAAUGCUGGGAGGCUGGUGACCCACUUCCCGAGAAUGAAGGCACCGUGGAACAUUGGGUAGCUGCAGUGCCCAGCAGCUCUGCUGAAGCUGAGUGCUGACAGCCAGAAGGCAGCCAGGACAGAAUGCAAUUGCCUCUGAAAUGUACUUCCCCCAGCAGAUGCUUCUGCUGUAGCUGGGUGACAAAACGUGCUCUUGACUCACAGGUGAAUGCUGGCUCAGUGCUAUCGCUUGUGUUUCUUCCUGGCAAAAGCCUCCAAGGACCCUAUUAAGCAGGGGGCUUCUAAAACUUUUUUUUUUCUGAGGAGUAGCUUUAUAUAAGCAACCUGUGUCACACUGAUGAAAAUUUUUACUUCUGUCUUUUUCUGGCUGGUCCUCUAGGCAUUUCAUGGUGGCUUCCUGAGGUCACUGGCACUGCUCUGCUGACUCCUACCUGGCAUGCUGCUCCCUUGGCCGAGCUCAGCCUGUCUGAAAAGUAAUGUUGUCUACCAGGGUGCUCAUGUCAACUGCUGGGUGCAACUGGAUGAGCUGCAGUUGUCAUUCCUUUUGAAACUAUCAGGUGGUCCUUUUUUUGUACUCUUUUAUUUAUUAUUAAAUAUCAGUUUCCAAUAAUAUUUUAUGGUUUCUAAGGAUACUGUGUGUAAGAGUCCCCAGGUUGUAAACUCACAUGUCUUUUGUGCUUGGGUGUAUUAACAGAUGGUGCUUGGGCAUGUUGCAGUACCUGAGAGUCUGUCUGGCUUCUGAAGCUGACCUGAUACCUGCUGAUAGUUUUCCAAAGCAGAAAUUCUUGAAAUUCUUUAUGGGAACAUGAGAUUGAGGUAAGGUCUUGUGGAUGAGCUACAUCUGAACACCAAGUGACCACAGCCCACUGUGUGUGGAGGCUUGCUUAGUCCCAGCAGUAACACUGAACAGCACAUUGUGAUUGUGCAGUUUUGAUUUUCAGACUCUCACCAAAUGUGUGUCAUUUUUUCCUAGGUAUUCUCUUGCCCUGGGUCCCAGGUGUUGCACUUGGUUUCUUCUAUACUGCUAGGUCUCUUCAGGGGCAAGGAUAUCCUCAGGGAUAACACUGUUUCCUGUCAAACACACUGGGAGCAGCCCACGAGGUGUGGAGUCCUUGGGCUUCAACUAUAGAGUAUGAUCCUAUGUCUUUAGUAAGGACAUUGGUGUUCCUAUUGUGAAUUCCUGUCAUAAAUCCCACCCUAUUCUGCCAGGGGGAACCACCAGGUGCCAUGUUACCCCAUGGCUUUUUGCAGGCUUGCUGUUUUCAGCAAAUAACUCUUCUAUUGGUGUUUUAGCGUUCAUUCAGACUCUGUGUCCCUGCCAGGAUCUUUCCACAUUUCCUUUUCAGGUGCUACCUGCAAAACAUAUAAUUAGUCAGAAGGACAAAGACUGGAUAAAAAAUUCCUCAGCAACAUUUAGUCAACAGAUUCAUCCCCUGUGAUCAAAGGCCCUGUCCUUAUCCUGUUAAAUUUAAUGGAAAUUUUACUAAUAACCUCAGAAGACCAGGAUAUUACUCUCCCUGAUUACUGGACAAGACCACUAUAACAUUAUAGCUUCAUAAGAAAUUAAAUCUCUUCCUCUACUCUUUGGAGGGGGGAAAAAGGCAUGUAUCCUCUUUUGCCUGUUCUCACAAUGGGUAAUCAUUUGAGACAGGAACUGGUGUCCAGAGGAGUGUCCUGUCUCUCAUCAUCAUAUAUUUAGCCCUGAGUUUGGAAAAUGGCUCCUACUAGAUGGGGCUGAGCUGAGUUUACCUCCAUGGUUGCAACUGUGUAUUUCUUGUCCCUGUAACCAUCAGUGCUGCAGAACCCAGCAAUGAACUUCCCUUACUUUUUAUUCAUUCCUAGGAGACUUGGUGGAGGGGUGUUGUAAUUUCUCUGUCUUCCCCUGAAAUUAUUAUUUCUGGAGUGUGUCUCAAAUGUACUUAGAGAAAAGGAAUGAAAUUCAGCAGUAUGACUGUGCUAGCAGAGCAAAUGUUUUGCUGGUGGUAGCUAUUUCUCCCAUCAUGUUGCCACUGAAUUUGUUGUGAUAUUCCUGAAAUGCCUUUAAACCCUUAAUUUCUUCUUUAGAGUGAGCCAAAGUGCUCCCUUGUAUGAAAGCUAGCCCUGAGAAGAGAGUGCUAAGCCUCUUAUGAGACCAAAGCUGUGCCUGUGUUUAGACUUAUUCCCUCACCCUCUGUGGCAUUUGAGCUGAUUCCACUUUUUAUGCCUAUCACUUUCUCAUUUCCCUUGGCUAUGAUCCCGCUUUCUUUCUGCUAGAAUGUUUGGAGGGCAGGCAAUUCCAUGGCUGCCUGCAGAUCAGCUUUCAGCAUUGAGUUGUGUAGCCACUGCCCACUGUCACUUCAGAGCCAAUUUUGGGACAGUGUCAUCAGCUUUGUCAAUCCAUAAGUCCCAGGGAGAUUUUUACCAGAUAAAAGUUUAAGUGCGUAUUAACUGGAUCAAAUUCUUAAAUGUACAUCUGAGACAUGAAGUGUCGAAUGGGACACCCAACUUUCACUAAUCAAACAAAACUAAUGCACUGAUAUCAGAGUUCCAUGAAUUCCAGCUAUCCAUAGGCACAUGAUAUCUAAAAGAUUGUCCUGUGCUCCCCCAAGCCUGUAUAUGAAUAUGUGGGAAGGAGGAAGAAAAAAUUUAGUAUUUUUAAAUUUAGUAUUCUUUUUGCAAAUUUUGCCUUUUUUUUUUUUUAUAAAGAUUUUAGUUUUCAGGUUUGUGUUUGUCAAAAACAUGGGACAAAAAAGCCAGUAUGAAUAGUAUCAGAGUUUUACAAACUCCACAAAGCAAGUAUAAAAAGAUCCAGUGGAGUGUUGCAAAUAUAUAUUGCAGCUCUCUAGUAAUAAAAAUGUCCCACUCACCUUAGAUGUGGGCCACUGUGUCCUGAAGAUGUCCUCUUGCUACCUGAACAGCAGACCCUCCUCCAGAGAGAGCAUGCCCUGAGUUGCUCUUUGCCCUCACAUUCAUUCCUGAACAAGAGCACAAGAGCCCAGGGCUGGUGUGUCAGCAGCACACAAGCUGCAACAGACCCCAGGUGGCUUCUGGCAGGAGGUUCAGCACCAGCCUGUCCUGUUGGUACGUGCCAGGACUCUCAAACAGUGCCUGGAGCUCAGACAGCUUGUAGUUUACAUGGGUUUGCAUGGACAGCUCUGUAAGUGAAGUACCAUGUGCUCCAGUUGAGUUGUCUGCAGGGACCCUGCUACUGAAAAGCAAGUCUCGGGACUGAGUUUGGACAUAUUUCUCUUUGUCUAAACACAAAAGUAUGAUCAGUUCAGCGUGAUUCACUUGCCUGGUUGGUACUAGUUAAAUUGCUCACUAGUCUAAUAGUGGCUUAACUUCAUCCAUUACCUUAAUAUUUCUUUAAAUAACUCAAUUUAAAUAAGAAACCAAUCACAUCUGGUGCAAAAUUUGCUGAAAGAUAGAGAAUAGUGGCUGCUCAGAAGCUCACAGUCUGACAUUAUCUCUAGGUCACUUCUCAAUAGGCUUCUGCAUAUCCACAACAUGACAGCUGCCUUCAGGGUGGCCAGAGAAAUGAAAAAAAAAAAAAAAAUUAAUACUUAUUUAUUUUAUUUUAAAUACCUCUCAUGUUGUAAACAAACUGAUAAGCACACCGUAGCCAGGCAUGGAACAUGUAUAAAACAGUGUAAGGAGCUCUGUUGCUCUGACAGUCAAUUGGUACACACUGAUUUGAACUUUUCACUGAUCAGACUUGCCUGCAUAAGAUUAAGCCCUUACAAUUAUCUUACAUUUGAAAAGUGGGUUUGACGAAUUUCUUUACGGCACUGGAUAGCUUUUAAUAGGACAUAUAGACCCAUUCUGGGUCCUUUUGAACAGUGGAUUUCGUUAUUGAAGGUCACAUAGUAAUUUUUCCAGGAAUAACCUGGGAUUUUUUUCAAGUUUGAUAAAUUCCAGCUCAAAUAAUUGCACUUUGCCUUCCCCAAAUCCCCCAAAGGUCCAAUUAAUUCAGGCAUUCUUAGCAUAAAACUGUUACACAUUACUACCGUACAUUGCUAGACAGCUGUUGUACUUCCCUCCAAAUUCAUUCCAGUGGUGCGUGAGCUGAUUCUCUCACACCACAGUGAUGUGGCGUGCCUGAAUUAUUCCAAUUCUCAGUCCUGCCAGAAAAAGCACAGUAAUUACACACACUUCUAUCAUGGUCUUCCUGAACCUUUUAAUCUAGAUCAUCCUUCUUUGUCCUGCUGGUUAAAUCCACUUCUGGACUGAACUCCCAAGGAUGAGGAGGGUCUCAGAGCAGGGAAUGUGCCAGGUGCACUGGCAGGCUGUACUUGUUUUGAAUACCUGAGAGGGCACCCCCACUGAGGUGAUUAGUUACUUCCCGAUUGCCUAACAGGCCUGUGACAACUGUGCUGGCUGAUAUCUAUCUGUAGUGAAAGAAAAGUUUAAAAUCUCAGAGAGUGAGUGGAUAUAGAAAAUCCAUAGCUGCAGAAGUGCCUGUUCUGCUUUUUCUUUUGAACGUGCUUUUACAUCUGGGUUUUUUGGAGUUUUUUUACCAGGUCUCAGUCUAAUCCUUGCAGCAAGAGUGUGUUUCUUUGAGGCCCACUUGUUCCUAACUCUAAUAAUCUGGUGUGACUCCUGUGGUUUGUAAAAUCAGCUGCAGUGCUCAUGUCUGACCCUUGUUGUCAGAUUGGAGCCAGCUGCCACAUCAGACUAUCAGAGCUUCUGGCUUUCCAGGUCUUGGCCAGCUUCAGAAAACUUGCCCUGUAAUAAUCACUGUGGUAAUGAGGAUGUUUCGACACCAGGGCUGAAAGCAAUGGCCUCUUGGCUCUGUAGUUCUGUUCAAAAGCAAUGUGAGGUCCAAAGGUAACCCCUGGCUAUACCAGGGAGGACCUCUGCACUGCUGGAGCAGCAGCUAAAAGCAGCAGGGCUACCAUGAGAGAGGUGCUCUCAAAAAGAAAGCUGAAAAUGACAAGGGUCAGAAGGGGUCAGUUUCUCUACCAUGUGCUUUGCUCUUUGACCUUCAGGGAUCCUUUUGGAUAUUCUGUAGAAUUUCCAAUUGUGCCAACUCCCAGCAUAGGCAUCCUCGUCUACAAGAUACAAUGAGGAAUUUUUUUUUUUUUGGUGGAGUUGCUGUGAGAUGGGAUAAUACACAUUUCUGUCUCAUCUGCACCUGUGGGUGCAUUUACCUGUCAGUCCUCAAGGGGAUCAGUUCAGCUCGAAGGAUGGAAUUUCAGCUGGCACCUUCUGAGUCAGGCCAGUGUUGGCAGGUGGAGUAUCUCUGGAAGGAGGUUGUUAGUGAUGUGUCUGUCUCUGAGGUCCAUCAAGGUUUCACUCAGCAGCAAUUUACAGCUUCCUUCCUGCAUGGCAGUCAGGGGUAGCUGUCAUCGUACCAGACGCCUUGUCCAAUCGGGAUAUCAGCAUCCUCUGACCAUGACCUGAAGUGGAGGCAUGUGCCUGCCUUUCAUUGCAUGUGCUACCAGAGUUUGCCAGCUCGCAUUUCAUCUGAGCUCAGUCUGGAGAUGGACACAUUCCAUACACGUCCUUCCUGGGGAUGUAUCAUCCCUGAAACAUUGCUUCCUCCAGGCCCAUGGGCUUCCAAGAUGUGGCAUGGAGUGAAGAGAGUAAGUUACAGGAUUAGGAAAACAGGUUUAAUUUCAUGUGUGUAAUUGGGCAAAAUUGCAUUCUUCAGAGUGGGAUGGGGAAUAGUGAAAAAACCCAUGGUGAGAGGAAGCAGAAAGCAGUUUUGUUUUUGUUUUGCCUCAGCACGUGUUGUAGAUGAGGUGACAAUGACUGUCAGGGCUGUUCCUGUGCUCCCAGCCCUAUCCCGGACGCUGUGCCUGCAGCCACUCGGGACACAGGAAGGUUCCAGCAUCGCACUGAGAGGGACUCCACUCGUGGGCGGGGGGAAAAAGCCUGGGAA